This 548-nucleotide ribosomal RNA is filed under the name uncultured bacterium. RNAcentral describes it as "bacterial SSU rRNA". It matches the Rfam family "Bacterial small subunit ribosomal RNA", at positions 355 to 896 of the family's 1533-position model. The record is from RNAcentral.
UGGGGAAUUUUGGACAAUGGGGGCAACCCUGAUCCAGCCAUGCCGCGUGAGUGAAGAAGGCCUUCGGGUUGUAAAGCUCUUUCGGCCGGAACGAAAUCGCGUACGUGAAUAACGUGCGUGGAUGACGGUACUGGAAGAAGAAGCACCGGCUAACUACGUGCCAGCAGCCGCGGUAAUACGUAGGGUGCGAGCGUUAAUCGGAAUUACUGGGCGUAAAGCGUGCGCAGGCGGUUCUGUAAGUCAGAUGUGAAAUCCCCGGGCUUAACCUGGGAACUGCGUUUGAAACUACGGGGCUAGAGUACGGCAGAGGGGGGUGGAAUUCCACGUGUAGCAGUGAAAUGCGUAGAUAUGUGGAGGAACACCGAUGGCGAAGGCAGCCCCCUGGGCCGAUACUGACGCUCAGGCACGAAAGCGUGGGGAGCAAACAGGAUUAGAUACCCUGGUAGUCCACGCCCUAAACUAUGUCAACUAGUUGUCGGGAAAGCAAUUUCUUGGUAACGAAGCUAACGCGUGAAGUUGACCGCCUGGGGAGUACGGUCGCAAGAUUA